RNAcentral lists this ribosomal RNA (300 nucleotides) under uncultured bacterium. RNAcentral describes it as "bacterial SSU rRNA". It matches the Rfam family "Bacterial small subunit ribosomal RNA", at positions 1080 to 1382 of the family's 1533-position model. The record is from RNAcentral.
UUAAGUCCUUUAACGAGCGNAACCCCUAUCCUAUUUGCCAUCAGGUUAUGCUGGGAACUAUAAGGAAACUGCCAACGACAAGUUGGAGGAAGUGGGGAUGAUGUCAAGUCAUCAUGGCCCUUAUGGGCUGGGCUACACACAUGCUACAAUGGUGGUUACAAUAGGUUGCAAUGAAGCAAUUCGGAGCCAAUCCUUAAAGACCAUCUCAGUUCGGAUUGGGGGCUGCAACUCGCCCCCAUAAAGUUGGAAUUGCUAGUAAUCGCAAAUCAGCACGUUGCGGUGAAUACGUUCUCGGGUCUU